GGACUACAGGGGUAUCUAAUCCUGUUCGCUCCCCACGCUUUCGCGCUUCAGCGUCAGUAUUAUGCCAGGUGGCUGCCUUCGCCAUUGACGUUCCUUCCGAUCUCUACGCAUUUCACCGCUACACCGGAAAUUCCGCCACCCUCUCAUAUACUCCAGUCAGAUAGUUUGCGAUGCACUUCCCAGGUUAAGCCCGGGGCUUUCACAUCACACACAUCUCACCGCCUACGCGCCCUUUACGCCCAGUAAUUCCGAUUAACGCUCGCACCCUCUGUAUUACCGCGGCGGCUGGCAC
Molecule: ribosomal RNA, 292 nt
Filed under: uncultured bacterium
Lineage: Bacteria
Description: partial 16S ribosomal RNA
Source: RNAcentral